Hibiscus syriacus is the source of this 148-nucleotide long non-coding RNA. RefSeq lists it as uncharacterized. NCBI's taxonomy places the organism in Eukaryota, Viridiplantae, Streptophyta, Magnoliopsida, Malvales, Malvaceae. The record is from RefSeq and is a predicted model, not a curated record. The transcript has 4 exons.
AAGUUUCCCAUUCUGAAUAAGGAUCCAUUCACCUAAAUAACAAUUUAUGGGAACCUAAAAGUUAUGAAGAGCAGGACAAUUUGAAGAGCUGAUAAUUUAGUUAAAAGAAAUUAUGCUUGAAAAGAUAGAAAUGAGUAAAUGGUAAGAA